RNAcentral lists this long non-coding RNA (7775 nucleotides) under Triticum aestivum (bread wheat). Its description in RNAcentral is "long non-coding RNA (TAES_LNC000750)". The record is from RNAcentral. Lineage: Eukaryota; Viridiplantae; Streptophyta; Magnoliopsida; Poales; Poaceae.
ACGGUGCCGCUUUGGUCGUUGGUUCCAGAGUCUGCUGCUCUUUUUCGUCAGUGCCGACUUUCUUGUGUUUUCUGGAGUCGUCCUGCGUGCUACGGGCCUAUAAAUAGGCUGCUUCUCCUCCUGUGGUGCUGCGUGUGGUUUCAUUGUUGUCUUGGUGACUAGCAGCGCCUCACGAAGCACUGGGAGGCUUUCCCGGCCGCAUUGCUUGCCGGCGGCCCCGGCGCACCGCCAGCCUUGUGCCUCGCUGCACGCUGGACAACAGCUUCGUGAGGCCCCGUCGCCUUGCUAGGCUCGCCACUCGCGGCUGCAUCGCUGGCCGGCGGUCCCGGCACGCCGCCCGCUUUGUGUACGGCCGGUUGCACGUUGGACGACAGCUUCGGCCUUCGGAAUGCCUGCUCCCUGCCCCCACGGCGCCUGCAAUCUUGGAUUCUGCCUCCCCAGGGGACGACGGGAAGGCAGCCUGCGGCGACCCAUGGACUGGAUGGACGACAACUUGGAAGACGUGAACCCUAUCCCGCGUGGCGCCUUGACGCUCUCCCAGUCUCCCUGCCGGAUGAGGCGGCCUGUCGUCCGGCUCUCGCUCUUUCUGGCAUCACAUAGCGUAUAGCAGAGCGGAGCGUGUGCGUGGCGAGCUCUCCGCUAGCACCACGAAGGUCCUGCCUGAACGACGCUCUUGGCUGUGUGCCUUGUGUGUGAUGCUUCCUGAAGAAGCUAUUGUGUGUGUGCUAGAUCGUAGGCAUGCACCAGCAGUACGUCGGCGCAUGGGGCCGCUCUCCAUCGACUCCUCGCUGCCGCAUGAGUAAGGAUGGCAAUGUAUAGGGUACGGGGCGGGUACAACCAUACCAUACCCGUGUAGUCAAUGGAUAUAAAAUUCUACCCAUACUUAUACCCACAGGUAUGAAGCUUUACACAUACCCAUAUCCAUACCUACGGGUAUGGAACUUUACACGUACCCAUAUCCGACGGGUACCCAUACCCAUUGGGUACCAAACGGGUAGAUCAAAUAGUACGCAAGUUAUUCACAAUUUCACACUCAUUGGUAGCACAUUUGACAAAAAACAUUUGAUGGAGACCGCAGGAUUUCGUGUGAUGGUGUGAGGCUUAAUUACGGGAGUAGUUGGGUCAACGAGCUCCUUUGCUGAUACCGACCCUUGCGCAUAUGUUGGAGCUCCAUGGGUAGGUCCACAUGUUAGUAUAAACGGGUAGGGUAUGGGCAUAUCCAUGGAUACAAGGCUAUACUCGUGUCCUACCCAUGACUUAACAGGUAGAAUAUGGGUACUACCCAUGGGUAUAAAAUUGUGCGCAUACCUUGCCCAUGCGGGUACGGUAUCCGCGGGUACCCGUACUCAUGGGUAAAUUGCCAUCCUUACUGUUACAGUUAAUUAACCAUGUGUUAAUUAUGGGAUUAAUCCCUGCUUGUACUAACCAUAGGCCGUUGUAAAACUGCCGCGUCGGUUCUCGCCGAACAGGCACCUCCUCUGAACAGACACCUUUUCCAUGGUGUCCUUUCCCUUGUAUAAAUAGCAGAUGGCAUCUAAUAAAGAUGAGACUUGAUUCAUUCAAAACACGUUAUCAGCACGCUCUGGCGAGAGCAGAAGGCCACGAGAGAUUAGGCCAUCCCGGCGGUUACGGAUGUUACUUUCGUCGCCGAUGGCUUACAGGCGAUGCAACCGGAAGCGGAAGUAGGAACCGGAAUCGUUCCAUUGAGCGCUCGCGGCGAGACAUCUUCCGGUGACGAGGCGAUGGAGCCCAGGUGCCGGCGCUCGACCGCAGCGUCUUCCAGCGCAUGGUUUGGUCUCACCCUCUCCUUCCCCUUCUCCCAGACGCCGUCCACAGUGGCCGCAUAAGCGGCCCUCUCCGGCACGGCCGACCGCGGCGCAUCUGCGACCCCGACCUGCUACGAAAGGCACGGCGGCGUGGCAAGCGCCUCCCGACUGGAGACUCGGCGCCUAUAGCGGGGAACAACCCGGCCUCGACCUCCCGGCGCGCGGAGCCCACAGCGGAUCUUCGACAGCGGCGCACCCGCAUCUUCUACGUCCUGGCGACGACGAAGACGGGCGAUGGAGGCGAGGCAGCCAGCGCCCGACGCGGCUCCCGGCAUCCGCGUGGAGUUCCUGCAGCCAUGGUCCUGCUCGUGGCGAAGAUGGAGCGGGCUCUCCCUUCAGCUGACUGUGUGCAGCCCGCCCCCGACGGUCGGCUAGGCCCGAACCUGGCACAGGCCUCCUCCGGCGCGGCAAGGCCCAGCGCGCGAACGGUUUCGUUUCCGCCGCCAGACUACGGCGGUGACGACCCUCGACCUGCGCUCCUUCCUCCGGCCGGCUGGUGCGCGACUACGCGGAGCGGGACGUCGAGUACGGCCUCGGCCCGGUCCUCCUCGCGUAGCCAUGGCCCUCGGCCUAGGUUGACGCGGACCUCCACGGCACGCGGCGCGGUGCCCGUGGCGUCGUUCAGCAUACGCCGACGAACUCCGGCGCGAGGCAACUCAGCACCGCGCGCGAGGCGAAGGCAUCCAUGGCUGGAUCUCCCGGAAGCGGCGGCGAUGGCUCCUGUGUAAAGCUAACCGAAUCGAUUGAUUCGUGUACUAAUUACAGGCCACACAGGACAACGAUGGGAACCUUAUCUCUUUGAAGGUUUUUUCAUUGUAGCCCUCUGGUUAUGCACUAACCCCGCACAAGUGGCUAUGUAUUUGCAUUGACCAUCAAAUCAGGCCACAGGCUGUGCAUUGGAGACCAUCAGAUAUCUCCAUCACAUUUACAAUAUAUGUAAAUGAUGAUUUCAGAUAUACUCUGCGAAAAUGGGACAUGUUCAUCGUAUUUGCUCCCUAGCAAUUCCUAGAACAUGUUCUGCAUUGCGAUUGAGAUUAAGUUUUCUCGCACAACAAUAUUGAUUUGCGAUUGAGAAUUUUUUUCUCGCAAAAUAAUUGCGGUUGAGAUCAAUUUUCUCUCGCAAAAUAUUAAUUCACUUCGCUGAAUUAUCUUGCAAUUUGAUACAAGAUCUCAUUUAAUUUGAGAUCUAUACAAUUCAAGUUUUUCACUUGAGGAUCGAGUUUGCAACACCAUUAUUAUUCAUUACAUUAGUAAUGUACAUCUGUAGAGUACCUUGUAUUCCAGAAUAAACUAUGAUGUUAUAUAUCUCCAUGUUAUUCUACAUGUUGAGAUUAAUUACAUCUACUAUUUGCAAUUGAGAUUUUCAAUUUCUUGUAAAUAAAAAAUCAAUUCAUCUUUAUUGAAUCUUUCAACUUAAUACGAGGAAGAAUUGAUAUGCAAAACUCAAAGUGAUUUUCGUCAAAUUGAUGUAUUGAGAUCACAAGGUAGUGUGUAGAUCUACUGCUUUGCAGAUUAUCACCACUAUUGUUAAAGCUUACAUUAUGAUUGCUUUACAAAAUGCUCUCCCACACAUUUUACUGAGUCAUGACAUAAGGCAUUAGGAAUGAGUAUCUACUGAUUUCAUCAGAUUAUACUCCCUAGUGCUGCGAGAUCUACUCCCUUUCAGAGAUUAUCUUCAAGAUGUCAUACUUAGCAAUUUGAAGUUCGCACUGAUGGUUUCAAGAUAACUUCUUGAAAUACCCAUCAAUUUUGCAAAAUUCAUUACAACACUAACCAUGAUGGUCUUUAAUUUACUACUCGUAAAUUAAUUAUCUCUGGUUUGCCCCUUUAAAUAAUCGAUGGCUAAGUAAUUUGAGGCUCUUGCCCUCAAUGGCCAGAACUUGCUUAAGCGGGUCAUGGACAUCAAGAUCAGUCUUGCCUCUCAUGGGAUAGCGCGUGUAAUCCAAGCCACGCCACCGGGACACAAAUUACCUCAAGGGUAAAGGUUUGAAGCUCACUUCAAACCUUCAACCUGACACCAUCAUGAAAGUCAGUUGUUUGCAUGAUGUUCUUCUAGAACCGAGCAAUAAAAUGACUAUCCAGCUGUCACGGGACCCUAUGAGCACGGAGAACAUGAAGGUUGGAUAUGCAUCAACUGACAUGUUUGGAGACUACAUUUAGUCCCUCAAUCUCCUUAGUGAUCUAUUAAUUUAUGUCCAUUUCUGAUGUUCUAAUACGAACAUGAUUAUUGUUGUCAUCAUAUAUUGUGUAUCACAAUAUAUUGUAUCAGCACUUUAGUACAACACAUUUGUAUGUAUUCUAUAUAUCUGAGUGAUUUUCAUAUUGAGAAUCUUCAAAUCUAUAUAUAGAUUUCUACAGGGGUCAAUCUGAUGAAAGAUCAUAUGUGCCUUGUGGACAUAUGCACCACAAACUCCAUACUCAGGGAAGUGAAAUAUUUCCACUCUCGCCGAGAGAAAGGGGAUAUUUUAAAAUCGCUAGACGUGAUGAAGUAUUUGUUGGCUCAACCCGAGUCAUAUUUACUAUCCCCGUGGGUACUCGAGUAACGUCGGGAUGCUUUAUUGCUUCUCAGGUUCAAUUCGUACCCUACUAAACUAUGGAGGUAUCCGUCAAAAUAGUUUCCGUAGCGAAACUUAUGAUGACAACAAAGGGAAAUAACUUCUCUUUACUAUAUGCAACGGAUAUGGCAAGCACAUUCCCUGUGUAUCAUCUGGAUUGUACUACACAUACGACACAACCCGUAGCACAUGUUGCGUACGAGAUAGUUUUUCAGAGUGUCUUGUACAUGACAAACUUGGCAUACUCGUCUUGGUCAUCGAGACAUUGGGUUGAAACCGAAACUAUCAGCAAUUCCAUCGGUUUAUGAUUAUUAUGAUGCUAAAUUCUAACAAUAUUUGGAUUUUGUGUGCACUACAUAUGACACAGGGAAGCUAAUUUUAAGGAUUGCGCACCUUAAAGUUUACGCUGAACCACUCAGACUCCUUGAAUGCAUCAAGUCGAGGUAAGUGGUUUUUCCCAACCAUUGACUAGACUAUUCAGGUAUCCAUGGUUUUCCAAAGACACAUCUACAUGAUGGUCUCAAGUGUGCUUUAUUCACACGAAACCAUUGACUCAUUAUCCUGACAUCGAUUUCAAGCAAAUCGAAUGGAUAGCAUUGCAGAAUUCUCCUUGAGUGCCUUUUUCUAUGGCCCUCAGAUUGAAGUUUAGCAAUUUAUCCUAAUGUCUAGACUCAAAAUGGUCUGGUAGAAUCCCAUCCAAAGAAUUGAGCUCAUUUCAUGAUCUUUACUUUGAAAUUGCAACUUACCAACUUUACGUUGGAGUCAUGGAGUUUUACACGCUCAUGACCAAACUGCAUAAUUUUAUUCCCCUCUAUCUUUGAUACGUGGAAUUCUACCAAGUAUUUCCUUUCUGCGGUAAUUCGGUUACACACCGAUAUCAUCACCCCGACAUACAUCAUUGGCCCCUCAACAUAUAGUUGGGAUCUAUAUGAGGAAUAAUUGUAUUACCGUCAAUACUUCAAGCCCCUCACAUGGGGAGUUAUUCAAGGCCAGUAUGUUGAUUCAGUGAGGAAUAUUUCCAGACAUUAGGGGGAGAAUUCAAGUACCAUAAAGAAUGCCAGGAAAUUAGUGGAAUGUUCAGCACAUUUCUGCCUCAUAUCCACGUAAUCAAAGAGCUGAACCAUGUGUUCAGAAGAUUUGCAACAUAUUGCAAAUAACCUGCCAGAUUCAUUUACUAAUUAUAAAGGUGUUACACAAUCCUACAAUCCUGCAAAAGUAUGCCUGAAAGAGUGGAGGUACCAACAAAAUCCACUCCACUCCCUGUUCAAAGCAACAGGGGGAGAUGUAUGGUAGAAGUACAUCAGGAUUCAGCUUCUCGCAAGUAAGGAUAUCUAGGCCUGUGAAUCAGUAAAUGCAAGUCAACUUCACGUUGGCAGACACCUAAUGGGUAGUAUACACCCAGUGGACGGGAAACCUCCACCAACCCAGGUCAUAGUGCACACAAUGACGGGGACAUCGGAAUACCCGACUCAAUCGCAUUGGGAAAUCGCAAGCAGUCACCAUGGGUAACGAUAUUUCCAUCAACAAUAUAUUGAUAUAUAGAUUCUGGAGAAUCAUAUACCCGGAAGUCUACAAUUGUCGACAUACAUUUCUCAACUAGAUUGCAAAAACUUUUCAAAUAAUUCAGAUCCAAGACCAUGGCCAUGGAAAAGUGUGAACAACACUCGGACUGAACUCAAGCUAAGGGUAUAAUCUAGGUAGAAAUGAUCUUGCUCAAUAAUGGGAAGGUAUUCAUAAGCAAUACCUACAACAUUUUUUUUUCUGGAAACAGAAUUGAGAACAACGAGGUGGUGAAAUAAAGAGCAAGUAUUGUAGCACAAGGGUUUAGGCAGAUACCUAACUAUUCUCCAGAGGUGGAAUCUCAUUCUGAUAACUUAUAUCAUUGGCAGUACAAAAUCAUCUAUCUCUGCAGUUGAUAGAUGUAGUGAUCACAUAUCCAUGUGGCUCACUAGAUUCAGACAUGUAUGAUUGAUUUCCAAUGGAAUCUCAAUUCUGAAUCGAAAUACAAAAUGCAACAUACAUUGUGUAAAAAUCAGUAAGUCACCAUAUGACUUAUUGUUGUCGGUACAUUUGGUACAACCGACUUAGUGAGUUCCUUUCCACAAGGAUUACUCCUACAAUGAUGGUUAUCCAUGUUUGUCUGUCAUACACAGUGAUUACUCUUGCAAUGGUGAUACAUGUAAUCAUCUAAACGACGGAGUUUAAAUGAACGAUUUGGGUAAAACCAAGAUACCGCUCGUUACUACAACUUGAGCACCUUCACUCAUACAUUUUGGUACACUAUGUUGUCUAUAUCCAAAAUAUAUUGGAGAAAUUCAUUGUGGACAAGUCUUAUACAUCCAUAACUCUCAUGGUGGUUCAUUCUCUAGACGUAGAGAAAGAUCUAUUUAGACCAAGAGAUGAUGGAAAUAAAAUAUUGGGACUCAACGUUCCUUAAUGCCAUUGGAUCCACCAAACACAAUUGGUUGGUACUCAAGAAUAUCUUUCAAUAUCUCCAAGGCAUCAAACAUCUUGUCCUGAUUUUUCAGUUUCACAGAAAUGUGAACACCGAUAUCAUUGGAUACAUCGAUCAGAUCCCACUAUAUCAGAUCGUAGACAAGCUUAGUGUUCCUACUAGGUGUGGUAGCCCUCUCAUGAAGAGUCUUCAAGACAGACCUCAUGGCUACAUCCACCAACCAUUAUCUCAAGGAUAAUGUUUCUUGUGUUGCCCGGAUGCAAACAUGUUACGUAAUAAGCAAUAUCGCUAUAUUGCAUAUCUUGCAAGUCAAAUCAUGCGACUGAUUUGUUCACCAGGUCUCUAUCAACUUCUAUGUUCUUGAAAUGUGUUCAUGGAAUUCGUAUAUAACGACUUCGGAAUAUGCAAGAAUCAGGGGGAGUAUCUUCCUGAAUUGUUCCUGUUGAAAGCAUCAUAUUAUACUCUUUUUCCCUUCAUGAGUUUACUUUAUAGGUUCUCAUAAAGGUUUUUAAUGAGGUAAUAUCAACACAAGACCAUAUGUCAUAUUUUCUGUUUUCCCCACCGGGGUUUUUAAGAAAGUAUAUUAGACAUAUUUAUUGUCCUCUAAACUCUAUGGGUUUUUCUCAUAUUGAGUUACACAGACAAUAAUCAUUAUAUGUUGCGGCAUUUUCUCCUUAUUUUUCCUAUUGGGUUUGAAGGAGUUUUGGCAACAUAUCAAACACCUCUAUCCUCAUUUUUUCCCACAGGAUUUUUGGAGGAAACUUUAUCAAGAUGACGUCUGCUCACAAGAUCAAGCAUUGAUUAGGUUGAGGGUUACAAUUAAUUAACCAUGUGUUAAUUAUGGGAUUAAUCCCUGCUUGUACUAACCGCAAGCCGUUGUAAAACUGCCGCGUCGGUUCCCGCCGAACAGGCACCUCCUCUGAACAGACACCUUUUCCA